This 392-nucleotide unclassified non-coding RNA is filed under the name uncultured Russula. RNAcentral describes it as "sequence contains ITS1". The stretch from base 1 to 105 matches the Rfam family "5.8S ribosomal RNA", at positions 50 to 154 of the family's 154-position model. The record is from RNAcentral. Lineage: Eukaryota; Fungi; Basidiomycota; Agaricomycetes; Russulales; Russulaceae.
GAAAUGCGAUACGUAAUGUGAAUUGCAGAAUUCAGUGAAUCAUCGAAUCUUUGAACGCACCUUGCGCCCCUUGGCAUUCCGAGGGGCACACCCGUUUGAGUGUCGUGAAAUUCUCAAAAGCCCUUCCUUUGGUGGAGAGGAUUUUGGACUUGGAGGUCAUUUGCUGGUUUCACCUUGAAGCGAGCUCCUCCCAAAUGGAUUAGUGGGGUCUGCUUUGCCGAUCCUUGACGUGAUAAUACUUUUCUACGUCUCGGGUUUCUGCACUGUACCUCUGCUUCUAACCGUCUCAUUGACAACGAUGGUGUUCCGGUCACCGCCGAUUCAUCGGUGGGAGGCUCGACCCACAAAACGACCUUGACCUCAAAUCGGGUGGGACUACCCGCUGAACUUAA